UACGGAGGGUGCGAGCGUUGUCCGGAAUCAUUGGGCGUAAAGGGCGCGUAGGCGGCCUUCUAAGUCAGACGUGAAAUCCCCCGGCUUAACCUGGGAACUGCGUCUGAUACUGGGAGGCUUGAGUAUGGGAGAGGGAUGUAGAAUUCCAGGUGUAGCGGUGAAAAUGCGUAGAUAUCUGGAGGAAUACCGGUGGCGAAGGCGGCAUCCUGGACCAUAACUGACGCUGAGGGCGCGAAAAAGCUAGGGGGGGAGCAAAAACGGGGGAUUUAGAAAAACCCCCC
RNAcentral lists this ribosomal RNA (281 nucleotides) under uncultured bacterium. Its description in RNAcentral is "partial 16S ribosomal RNA". It matches the Rfam family "Bacterial small subunit ribosomal RNA", at positions 524 to 790 of the family's 1533-position model. The record is from RNAcentral.